RNAcentral lists this ribosomal RNA (111 nucleotides) under Fukomys damarensis (Damara mole-rat). Lineage: Eukaryota; Metazoa; Chordata; Mammalia; Rodentia; Bathyergidae. The record is from RNAcentral.
GUCUACGGCCAUACCACAAUGAACGCACCUGAUCUCAUCUGAUCUUGCAAGCUAAGAACGGUCCGGCCUGGUUAGUACUUGGAAGGGGAAAACAGAAUCUAAUUAAAGACA